Molecule: ribosomal RNA, 531 nt
Filed under: uncultured endophytic bacterium
Lineage: Bacteria
Description: partial 16S ribosomal RNA
Source: RNAcentral
AUUACCGCGGCUGCUGGCACGUAGUUAGCCGUGGCUUUCUGGUUAGGUACCGUCAAGGUACGAGCAGUUACUCUCGUACUUGUUCUUCCCUAACAACAGAGUUUUACGAUCCGAAAACCUUCAUCACUCACGCGGCGUUGCUCCGUCAGACUUUCGUCCAUUGCGGAAGAUUCCCUACUGCUGCCUCCCGUAGGAGUCUGGGCCGUGUCUCAGUCCCAGUGUGGCCGAUCACCCUCUCAGGUCGGCUACGCAUCGUCGCCUUGGUGAGCCGUUACCUCACCAACUAGCUAAUGCGCCGCGGGCCCAUCUGUAAGUGACAGCGUAAACCGUCUUUCAGCUUUCCUACAUGAGUAGGAAAGGAUUAUCCGGUAUUAGCUCCGGUUUCCCGAAGUUAUCCCAGUCUUACAGGCAGGUUGCCCACGUGUUACUCACCCGUCCGCCGCUAACUUAAAAAGCAAGCUUUUUAAGUCCGCUCGACUUGCAUGUAUUAGGCACGCCGCCAGCGUUCGUCCUGAGCCAGGAUCAAACUCU